Molecule: long non-coding RNA, 2915 nt
Filed under: Homo sapiens (human)
Lineage: Eukaryota; Metazoa; Chordata; Mammalia; Primates; Hominidae
Description: HSALNT0334428
Source: RNAcentral
AGAGCUGGGGACGCUGGGAGCGGAGUGGGGACGAGCUGAGAUCGGUCAGGGUGUACAGGGUGCAGGCUUGAAUUCUUUAGGAAUUGGGCCCGAGAGGGCUAGGAUUUUUGAAGGAUUGGGUGACCGGCACUGGAAGUUGAUUUUCAACUCCGAGGAAGAGAUUCACCGUUCUAAGCUUCUUUCCAGGAAUUGGAGUGAACGGGAUCUUAAUGGGAUUGCGCGUUUACAAUGGUGAAGGGAAACGGAGGGGUCUGAACGCUCCCCGCAGGGCCGCAGUACAGGCGUGUGGAUGUGGAACCCUUUCUGGGACGGCGAAACCAGCUCUUACGCCGCUUCCGCGCGCCAUCACUCCCUACCCUGACCUCGCACAGAAUCUGUUUCAUUAAUCUGCUAUUAAUGUUUUUUCCCCAACUCAUGUUACUAGACGCAGGCGUUUAACUACCAUGUUUUGUUAUUGAAAACUUUUUCUACUUGAAGGCUUUUUUUUUUUUUUGGACGAUUCUGUGUUUAGAUUUUGGCCUGUUCCUCAUUUUAAAAUCUUGCACCCCCAGUAUUGUACUGUACAUUCUGUCCUGCCACAUUUAAUUGAUAUAGAUGUAGUUCUUUAAAUAAUACAGUAGUCGUAAGACAAUGCUUUCAGUCUUUCACUCUUUAUAUUAUAUGAAGUCUUAUUUAUAUUUAACAUUCUUAUUGCCUGCUUAGAGAAGAAAACUGGUUAUCCAUGCUCACCUUCACACCUGUGUUGUCAAAUACUAUAAAAUACUGUAUUUUAUAGGGAUUCAAGUAUUAACCCUCACCAAGUCUUUUUAAGCAUCACUGCUUCAGUUAUUUUCUUGCCUAUAGAUACUGUGAGUUCUGAAAUCCCUUCCUUCUAUUUGCUUAAAUUGUUUAAAAUAGCAACUUAUUUGGUUAUUUCCUCUGUGGAUUGUAGUUGAGUCUGCUAGUGUUGUGUUUGAUUCUCUUUAAUCUCCCCAACGCUUCAAUAUUUGCCAAAUACCUAAAAUUCCAAAAGAAUAGAUAUAUUUAGGAUGUGAGAGCUCAGCUUGAUGUGUAAAUCAGGGAUCAAUUCAUUGCUGAGCAAAGUGUGCAGUAUAAGGGAAAGUAACAGAGUGAGUAUGGUGAUAACUUCUUACAUGGGAAGACUGGUUGAAAGCUCUUUUGAGUACAUUACCAAGAAAUUAGUUAACAGAAGAUUAAGAGAAAAAUUAAUGUUCACAUCUAAAGAAACAUAAAAGUAGAUCAUUUCAAUUAAAAUUAUGUUCAGUUAAUGUUAUCAUAGAAGUUCCUGCACUGGAGUUUCACCUGCAUCAGAUGAGUACCUGUUUGAUCCAGUUUAUCAGGAUAGAAUCCAGAUCAUCUUAUUCUAGGAUACUGGUGUCCAGCCUGCAUAAAAUCACACACAGGCCAGGCGCGGUGGCUCACGCCUGUAAUCCCAGCACUUUGGGAGGCCGAGACGGGCAGAUCACAAGGUCAGGAGAUCGAAACCAUCCUGGCCAACAUGAUGAAACCCCGUCUCUACUAAAAAUACAAAAAAGUAUCCGGGCGUGGUGGCACGUGCCUGUAGUCCCAGCUACUCGGGAGGCUGAGGCAGGAGAAUCGCUUGAACCUGGGAGGCGGAGGUUGCAGGGAGCCGAGAUCACGCCGCUGCUCUCCAGCCUGGCAACAGAACUAGACUCCGUCAAAAAAAGAAAAAAAAAAAUCACGCACAACAAAAGUUAAUGAGAGUGACACAUGGAGAAGGGAAACUGAGUUAAGGCAUUGAUACAGGAAGUUUAAAAAUUUAUUCUUAGGAAACUGAAUUGGGCUGUUGGCAGAGAUCUGAUUUUUAAAGUCACAUGAGUUAACCAGGUUCCUACCUCCUGGAAUUUCUUAAAAUCCAUUUUUGAAAAUCUGAUUUAGCCAUAAUUUUGCUCAUAGUUUGAGACCAUUGCUAUAUACAAAGGGCCAAAAAUAUUUUUGCAUUACAUUCAUAUCAAAUAUCCUAAACUAUCAAUGGUACUAGGGUAUCUUAAUUAUAACAAAGCUAAAACAGCGAAGCUGUUGCUGAAGUUAAGGCUUUGAUGACUACCACCUCUCAGAAAAACAAGUGAUUUUCCAAGGCAUGUGGGGAAAACACAUCAGGAGACCAAGUUAAUUUAUCACUCCACAAAAAUGUCUCCAUGACCUGGACAAAAUUGUUAAAGAAAAAUGAAGCAUUGUUAGCGUAGACUUUAACGUUCCUCUGGCAUGUAAUAUUCACGUAGACUCACUAGUGCAAAGAGAAAGUGCAUGUAUCUAAGUAAAAGUGCCCAUGGGCAUCUUAAAAUGAUUAGGUAGUAAGCCCACAUUCUCAAAAGAGCAGCAGAAGUCAUGGCUAAUAUGGAACCAUCUCUCUGAUUCCAUGGAAGUGGUUUCUUUUUAUUAUUAUUUUUUGAGACAGAGUCUCGCUCUGUCACCCAGGCUGGAGUGCAGUGGCCCGAUCUCGGCUCACUGCAACUUCCUCUUCCCCAAUUCAAGCGAUUCUUCUGCCUCAGCCUCCUGAGUAGCUGGGAUUACAGGCGUGUGCCACCACGCCCGGGUAAUUUUUGUAUUUUUAAUAGAGACGGGGUUUCACCAUGUUGGUCAGGCUGGUCUCAAACUCCUGACCUUGUGAUCUGCCUGCCUCGGCCUCCCAAAGUGCUGGGAUUACAGGUGUCAGCCACCGCACCCGGCCAGAAGUGGUUUCUUCUCAUGUGGAUGCUACAGUGACAGUUCAGGUGACUUGGAAAUUCUUUGUUGUUUGAGAUUCAUAACUCUUACUUGCUAGGAUGUUUGUGGGGACUUUUUAUUUUCUAUUUAUCAAUUAUUUCAUCCUUUGCUAUAUUUGCCUUCUAUUUUUAAUGCUUAAGUUGUCACCAUGGAAAUAAACUGGGUAGAUUGCAUAUUGUUUAGAACCG